Molecule: small nucleolar RNA, 152 nt
Organism: Suricata suricatta (meerkat)
Lineage: Eukaryota; Metazoa; Chordata; Mammalia; Carnivora; Herpestidae
Source: Ensembl
CAUGCACAUUGUUAGAGAUUAAAGUUGAGGCUGCUGGCUGGCCAGUGAGCUCAAAAGCAUAGGUGGGGUGCUAUCUAUGUGAGGGGCAAGUCUAACACCACAAGGGUCUCUGGCCCAGUGAGUGUAGUUUGAAAGUAAUUCUUGCUACAGGU